This 1074-nucleotide ribosomal RNA is filed under the name uncultured fungus. Its description in RNAcentral is "eukaryotic LSU rRNA". The stretch from base 1 to 243 matches the Rfam family "Eukaryotic small subunit ribosomal RNA", at positions 1593 to 1831 of the family's 1831-position model. The record is from RNAcentral. Lineage: Eukaryota; Fungi.
UUGCUCUUCAACGAGGAAUGCCUAGUAGGCACAAGUCAUCAGCUUGUGCCGAUUACGUCCCUGCCCUUUGUACACACCGCCCGUCGCUACUACCGAUUGAAUGGCUCAGUGAGGCCUUCGGACUGGCCGGCGUGGGAUCGGCAACGAUCACCCCAGUGCCGGAAAGUUGGUCAAACUUGGUCAUUUAGAGGAAGUAAAAGUCGUAACAAGGUUUCCGUAGGUGAACCUGCGGAAGGAUCAUUACCGUGUGUUCCCUAAUUCCCCGGCGGGGGCUUACAAGGCCCUCGCCGGGAAUUCUGGGAUCCUUCCCCCCCAUCCUUGUCUACUUCAGCACCCGUUGCUUCGGCGGUCGUCGUCCCUCUUCUCCCUUCGGCUUUGCUCCCGGAGCAUCUCUGUAAGGGUUAAGAGAGGGGGUUGUUUCGACAGGCUCGCUCCCGGGGGAACCCUUCCCCAUCGAGGCCAGGCCAGGCCGCCGGAAGCCUUCAUUCUUCAGUGAACUUCUNAGCUUUGAAUCGUGGAGUGUGAUCCGGUCUGAGAGUAUGUGUGGCGUGAAGCCAGCAGCAGAAAUUCCAUUUUAAAACUUUCAACAACGGAUCUCUUGGUUCCGACAUCGGUGAAGAACGCAGCGAAAUGCGAUAAGUAAUGUGAAUUGCAGAAUUCCGUGAAUCAUCGAAUCUUUGAACGCACAUUGCNCCCCCUGGUAUUCCGGGGGGCAUGCCUGUCCGAGCGUCAUUGCAACCUCCCUCAAGCUCGGCUUGGGUGUUGGGCCUUCUCUGCUGUCCCGCGCUUUGUGGACAGGCCCGAAAGGCAGUGGCGGUAUCGUGCUCCGGUGCCCGAGUGUAUGGGAAUGACUGGUUGUUUUCAGAGGGGAACUGAAGGAGCCUCAUGCUCCUUCCCCCCCUGGCCCGCAGAACCUGCUCGCAUGGCCCGGCCGGUGCCUUAGCCGUCCGCGGAGAGUUGGAGGAAAGAGGGGAAAGCCCCCUUCCUCGAGCUCUCUCGCUCUCUCUUUCCAGUGGUUGACCUCGGAUCAGGUAGGGAUACCCGCUGAACUUAAGCAUAUCAAUAAGCGGAGGA